GCCUAAAAUCAAGCCUAUAAACUCCACAUGAACAACCAUAUUUAUGAGUACACAAUAAAACAUUUUUACACUCUAGUAGAGGCGAUCAAAAGACUUAUAAGCGCUUCAUACACAGUACCGCAAGGGAACGAUGAAAUAGAUCUGAAACAGCCCAAAAGCAUAAAAUAGUAGAGAUACCCCC
RNAcentral lists this ribosomal RNA (181 nucleotides) under Quasipaa boulengeri (spiny-bellied frog). Its description in RNAcentral is "partial 16S ribosomal RNA". The record is from RNAcentral. Lineage: Eukaryota; Metazoa; Chordata; Amphibia; Anura; Dicroglossidae.